This 1083-nucleotide ribosomal RNA is filed under the name Triticum aestivum (bread wheat). RNAcentral describes it as "partial small subunit ribosomal RNA". The record is from RNAcentral. Lineage: Eukaryota; Viridiplantae; Streptophyta; Magnoliopsida; Poales; Poaceae.
AUGGGGCGGCCGCCGAGCAGCGGGGGCCCCGCGUUCCGGUUCACGCACGCGGAGGUGGCGGAGAUGGAGGAGCACCUCCGCCACCUCAACAAUGCCAUCCCGCAGCGCAACGUCAUCCAGGGCCUCGCCGAGAAGUUCACCGCCUCCGCCGCCCGCGCCGGCAAGAUCCCCGUCCAGUACAAGCAGGUCUGGAACUGGUUCCAGAACCGGAGGUACUCGCAGCGGGCCAGGACCCCCAGGGGCGCGCCGCCGCCGCAGGGGAAGAUGCUGCCCACGGGGGCCGAGGAACACCACCCGGCCUCCUUCAGGGCUCAGGGGUCUUCCUCUUCCUACCCCGGAUCCCACUCAGGUGGAAAGAGUGCUUCGGAUGGUGGCCAGGCCGAGUUUGAAGCAAAGUCAGCUAGAGAUGGCGCGUGGUAUGAUGUUGCUGCCUUUCUGUCCCACAGGCUCUUUGAAACAGGGGACCCGGAAGUAAAAGUUCGAUUUUCUGGAUUUGGGCCUGAGGAGGAUGAAUGGAUUAAUGUUCGUAAAUGUGUGCGGCUGCGGUCUCUUCCAUGUGAAUCUGCAGAAUGUGUUGCUGUGCUUCCUGGGGAUCUCAUUCUUUGUUUUCAGGAAGGCAAAGAGCAGGCCCUCUAUUUUGACGCUCGUGUUCUUGAUGCUCAAAGGCGCAGGCAUGAUGUAAGAGGGUGCCGCUGCAGGUUUCUUGUUCGGUAUGAUCAUGAUCACUCUGAGGAGAUUGUUCCUCUGAGGAAGGUAUGCCGUCGACCAGAAACUGAUUUCAGGCUCCAGAUCUUGCACGCAUCUAGAGCGGCGGCGUCUGCAGAUGCUCAGAAUGUUAGCCCAGUUGAGCAGAAACCCCAAAAGGCACACAAGAUGAUGGACGUGAACACUGCCGAGGUGACCGUGGUUUGCAACCCAGAUCAAGGAGGGCCAUCUGAUAAGCCGGCUGCUCCCUUACCAGCUGCGGCUGCUGGCACCCGCGGUGAUUCAGUUUCAGAUGUGCAGAUGGGGAAUGUGGAGGUUAUUCCAAAAGUUGAAGCUGCAAAUGAAGCACAUGACGACAAGAUGAACGUGGGAGCUUAG